Molecule: non-coding RNA, 5933 nt
Organism: Rattus norvegicus (Norway rat)
Lineage: Eukaryota; Metazoa; Chordata; Mammalia; Rodentia; Muridae
Source: RefSeq, a predicted model, not a curated record
CAAGAGCAGAAAUGGCAGCGGGCACUCCCAGUGCCUUCAUCAGGUAGUAUCGGUAGAUGAAAACCUCUGAGAGGCCGGUAAGAUGUCCUGGUGUAGGUGGAAGGCAAGGAGUUAGGAAGAGAUAAAUUUAGAAUACCAGCCUCAAGCAAGAUGGUUGGAGAGCCUUGCAAACAAAGCCGGGAAGAUUUGGCUUCGUUCUGUAAUGGAUGCAAAUGGAGCUGGUGAGGUACUCUCUCAUGCGAACCAGCGUUGGAAAUGCUACCGGAUAAUAGAAAUAUGUAGAUUUGAAGUGUUUCCCGCUUGAGGAGGAGGUGUGAACGAAGUGAGGCGGUGCUCACUGCAAGGGGACAUUCUUGGCCUUUCUUGUUCUUCGUCUUCGUAUUGUGACACUUACAUCCUCCAUCCGUAUUGGAUAAUCAAUAUUGGCCGUCAGCGGAUUGUUUCUCCCUCUUCCCACUGGCCUGCCAGAGUUAAAUACCACAGGUACAGAAAUCAGCCCACUUUUAUUGUCCACCAGUCUGUCUCAUACACACGAAUGUCUGGAAAAGAGUUAAUACUUAAUCACCACCAGUUAUCAGCCCUUCGGGGUUUCUGCGUUUCAAGUCUGUCAGUUGAUUUGGGGCCUGAAGGCUUGCGCUGACAUGUUGCUGACAGAGGACUAUGCUAGUGGAGAUUUGUCUCUGCAACCUCUCAAUUCUAGAAGCUGUGUUAGGCUUCCUAUGUGUAGAGAUAUUUGGUCAUUCUCAGAUUUCCGACAGGGUUGAAGACUGAUUAUAGUCUCAUAGUAUAUCAGGUUAUUUAACUCUGAAAAAAUACAUAUUUUAUUAGAUAGUUAUCAGAUAGUAUACAAGCUAGCUAAGAUAUGGCAUAGGUUUUAAGCAUUUCUUAAGCUGGAAAUGGAUAGCUAAAUGUUCUGUUCAACUGAUAAAGUGUUGGACAGGGUGUUAGUUAUAUUUUAGAGUUUUAACUACAAAAUGAUAACAGUCGUGCUCAGCUUAUAUUUGAGAGAAAAGUUGUUUUUUAAUUAGAUAAAAAAGGGUGUGACGUAGGAUGUCAUACAGGUGAGGGUGAGUACAAGAUAAAACAAGGCCUGUCAUUGGAUUAGAAGGAAGGGUGGGCGGGAGAAAAGUUUUAGAGAGGGGAGGAGACUGGAGCGAGGCAGAAGCAGCAGAGAAGGUAUGGAGGCUGAUGUUAAGAUUCCUCUCUGCACAUUUACAGGUUGUUAGGAAUGUUUUUAAGGGAUGGUUUUGUACAGGGAUUUGUAUGUCUAGAUGGGCAAGUAUAUCUUAUCAAUUGGAUCAGAGGUUAUUGUGUUGUGUGUUCUUUCAUGUGCAGAUUUAAGUGUAAGAGAGUAUGUGACAGCCAAAGACGCUAGGCCACCACGGAACUGAGAUGUAUAUUUCUGACAUGGUGACAACCUGCCUUGGGAACUGGAUGGGUAGAAAGAUUGCUGCCAGGCUCAGAGAGAGGCCAUCAGCAGUGUGAUAUGGGAUGGAGCAAAGUGGGUGAGAGGCUUUGCUGACUGAGAUGAAGAUAUCUAGCAGAUAUCUUGGGGCACUGAGGUGCUGGACCUAGUGCAGAAUAAAAGACAUCGUUUUUAAAAUUUUGCAGCAGCAGGUUGGCGAAAGAGCAUGUUGUGCUACCUAUUUUAUAGAUAAAGAAACUUAGAUUAAAAGGGGUGUGUGUGUGUGUGUGUGUGUGUGUGUGUGUGUGUGUAUGCAAAUUUUAUACUGCUAGUCAGUGUAAUGGGACAUGUGUGUCCACAGAUUUUCUCAGGUCUCAAAUUUCUGACUCAAAGGCCAUGCUCUUUCUGAGCACCAGUGUGUGUGUGUGUGUGUGUGUGUGUGUGUGUGUGUGUGUCUGAGUAUACAUGUGCACAUGCCCACGUGCAUUGUUCAACUUUAGUAAGACAAAUGAUGGAGAGACUGAGGGAGAAAAAAAGAACUGAAACACAAAUGUAGUCUGUGUCUCUCUCAUCUUCUCAGAAGGUGUUUGUUACCAGUGUAUGCACCAACAAAAUGGGUCGUGUGUAACCUGUUUAAGGCUCUGGACAUAAUGACAAAGUAAGGGUGUUUGUGGAUCUGGGUUUGGGCUUAUGGUUUCAUAAUCUUGUUUGUUUGUGCUUUGAUUUUUUUAAAUGAAUGACUGAAACACCAGGUGAUCUUUUUCAGAAUAACUCUUGUAAUCUAGUCUUAUCUUACGACUUCUUUUAAUGGUACAUCAGACAGUAAGAUUAAAUUCCAAAUGGUUUGAUAGUCAGAAACCCUCAGGUAUAUAUUAGAUAUAAUUUGAGUCAUUUAGUUUUUGAAGUUAAUAAGCGUGUGUGUGUGUGUGUGUAUGUGUGUGUGUGUGUGUGUGUGUAUAUGUGUGUAUGAAUUAAAUAUUGUACCUGAAACAAUGUAUAACUAACUGUCUUUGGAAUGGAGGCAGAGAAAAUACAGUUUUCCUAAGACCUGCUUUGCUAGAGGUCUUUCCAAACCCAAACCUUUUAAGUGGCUCAUUUUCUUCAGGAUCUUAUAAUAGUAAAAACGUACUUCAAGUUUCUUCAAAGCUUGUGACUCCACAUCUUUCUUGGGAUAAAUCUUAAAAAAAAAAAAAGAAAAAAGAAAACAUAUUUCUUUUCUUUGGAAGAUACUGAGAAUCUGGCUACCUGGAACAUUUUUUAAAGUGCCUCAAACACAAACUAAGGUAGCGGCUGGUAUUGGCUGUGUUAAUGCCAUCCACCUUAAAGAUACACAAUCUCCUAAUCCACCUUAAAGAUACACAAUCUCCUAAUCCACCUUAAAGAUACACAAUCUCCUAAUCCACCUUAAAGAUACACAAUCUCCUAAUCCACCUUAAAGAUACACAAUCUCCUAAUGCAGGAUGGAUCACAGUGCUUACCCAAAUCUCAAGUGCACACAUUACGUGUCAGUAUUUGGCCUGGGGAAUAGUUUAGUGGUAGAGGGCUUGUUCCUCGUGUGUAAGGCACUGAGUAUGAUACCCAACACUGAAAAUAACAUGUUUCCACUUAAAUAUCUGCAAUUACAUUUCUUGAGAGAUCUCCGUUCCACAAAUAGUACAAAGCCAAACUACUGUCCCCAUGCUUGCUUCUUCAGAGGCUUGGGCUCUGGGCUAUCCCCUAGGGAAGCAAGUUGCGGUCAAUGCCUUGAAGAUAACAAGAAAGGAACCAUAGGUCAAGCUUCAAGGUUUUGAAAGGUGGAGGGGAUUUCAGAGGAGGGAUAAGUACGCUGUGAGGAAGGUACUGCUGGUCUGUUUAACAAGUGAGACACACAUCUGUGGUCGGCACUGCUCGCUCCACAAUAGAACAUUAGAAUAAGAGAACAUCCAUUCUCCAUUUCUCUAUGUUCAAGAACAUUGUUUUCCCCCAGAAUCCAUUUAUCCAGUCCUCAUAUCGCUUGAGGAGAGUAAACUCCAUCCUGCCCCAAGUGGUGACUACUACAUCUUGACAGUCAAGAUAGAAACUCCCACAUUUCUCUUCCAAUCCCACUGGCAGAGCUGGGGUUGUGAAAAACUCCCUUCUUUUUAAAACAAAGACACUGAAGAUAGUGGACAGCAGACAUGAUGCAGUUUUAUUUAUUUUUUUCACACUUGGAAGCUGGAAAUCAAGAUUAAAGUGUUUACAGAAUUGAUUUUUCCUAAGGCUUCUCUUCUUGAUGUAUACAUGGCUGCAACUGCCUUUGUUCACACAUGGUCUAUCCCGGUGUUCACAGGGGUCCCUGAUGGGUAUAUUUUGCAUGUCUUAACAUUUUCCUUUUAUAAGAAUAUCGGUGAGAUUGAAUCUUGACUCUUAUUUUAACUUAACUAUUUAAAGGUCCCCAUCUCAAAAUAGUAUGCCACGGUGAAGGGCUUCGGUAAUUCUGAUAUGAUUCAUACACAAUCGAGUCUACGACCCCAAAAGCAGUUGACUAACCAACAAGGAAAGGGGUUUUCGGAAAGGACCUGAGUUCCGAACACAGGCCGGUAAAGAUCCUAUAGUGUGUCAGCAAGUUGAGCUGGCAUCUACUCUAAGUUGAAGUGGAAGGUAUCAACCUUUAAUAUAAGAACACAGAACACACGAGAAAACUGUUUAUGCCAUCCCUAUUUUUAGACUGGAAAGCUUUACUAGUUGCUCUGUAACAUGAGGCUACAGGAGUGUUUCUCAUUUCUGGGGAGGCAGAGAAGCAUCCUCUUACACCAUUCAUUCCUCACAAGGCUCAGGAUAAGCAGAGACAGAUUCAAAAUGGGUCAAAGUAGGAAGCUUAUGUUUGAAAGCCAGUUUUUCAUCCCUUUUAUACAAUUGCUUGCUCUCGUGGAAAUCAUGAAAUGCAAGGAUUUCUCUUUGGGCAAGGCCUUAUGUUAGAAAAGCUAGCAAGCAGGCUCAGAAGGAUUUAAGCUAAGCCAAGUUGUAUGGAAUGUUAAUUUUUACUGGUUUAAUAAAAAAAAAUAACUAUCUUGCACCCGUUUAGGCUGUGCACAAACUUUUUUAUUCACAUAAAUGAGUUCACCAAGUGCUGUAGCUUGCUUCACAAAGACUAAGCUGAAUGUUCUUUGAUCAAAUAAACAGCAGGAACGGAAUCCAAAGUGAGGCCUCUUGUUGCCAUAGGCAGUCCUCACAGGAAGCGUGUAAACAAACACAGAGGCACGCCCAGCAUGAUUCGUUCACCAGGUGGUGCUCAUGUUUGGUCAGUGGUAACGAAAAACGAAGGUGGGGAAAUUUCAUUCAUCUGUAAGAGAAACCAAAGAUGUAAAUGGAAAAUACCAUGAAAUUUCUAGAGUUUUACAAAGGGGGCAUUUGAAAUGCGCUGUCUCAAAACACAUUUUCUCGUGUACUCUUUUUUUUUUUUUUAAACCAGCAGGUGAUGAGGGUUUUUUCUUCAAAGCAAAAAGAGAACAAACUCUGGAAACUCGCUGGCUCUGCUGGCCAGGGAGUUAGAGAGCAACUUGACUCGUCGUUAAAUAUCUCCAAAAUGCUUUAUUGAGGAGAGAAAGGUGUCCCGUGUGUGUGUGUUGGGCCUGAAAAGACCAGAAGAGUGUCUCAUCCUUUAAACCUGGAGUUGCAGAAGGCUGGUGGCUGGUAUGUGGGCUCUGGAAAUCAAACCUGGAUUUUUUUGUGUGAGAGCAGAGAUAACCACUAAGUUGUUGCUGUAGCCUCUGUGGUACAGUUUUCUAAUGGCUGAAAGCACUUGAAACGACUGCAUUAUUUAUUGCUCAGCACACACACAUGUAAGGGUAAAGCCACACGUGUACAUGGUCAAUAUGAAAUUAGAAAAGUUGUUCAUUGGAUGUAGAUCUCUCCUGAGAGACACACCCAGAAUAUAGCAAAUACAUAGGCGAAUGCCAGCAGCAAACCACUGAACUGAGAACGGAACCCCCGUUGAAGGAAUCGGAGAAAGGACUGAAAGAGCUUGAAGGGGGUUGAGACUCCAUAUGAACAACAAUGCCAAGCAACCAGAGCUUCCAGGGACUAAGCCACUACCUAAAGACUAUACAUGGACUGACCCUGGGCUCCAACUGCACAGGUAGCAAUGAAUAACCUAGUAAGAGCACCAGUGGAAGGGGAAGCCCUUGGUCCUGCCAAGACUGAACCCCCAGUGAAUGGAAUUGUUUGGGGGGAGGGCGGUAAUGGGGGGAGGACGAGGAGGGGAACACCCAUAUCGAAGGGGAGGGGGAAGGGUUAAGGGGAUGUUGGCCUGGAAACUGGGAAAGGGAAUAACAACUGAAGUGUAAAUAAGAAAUACCCAAUUUAAUAAAGAUGGAGAAAAAAAAGUUGUUCAUACUGGAAAUAGAGAAAAAAAACUAUUCAGAGAAGAAGAAUAUAGAAAUAUUUGAUUAUGUUUGUGAUAUUUACAUUUUUGCAUCAAGUGCUGGACUCUGGGCUGUUUCUUACAGUGCUUCUACGUUUGCACAUUUCUGAGACAUCCCAUAAUAAAAAAAGUUUAGAGAAACCAAGA